This 23019-nucleotide long non-coding RNA is filed under the name Musa acuminata (dwarf banana). Its description in RNAcentral is "long non-coding RNA (MACU_LNC006499)". The stretch from base 3176 to 3247 matches the Rfam family "tRNA". Lineage: Eukaryota; Viridiplantae; Streptophyta; Magnoliopsida; Zingiberales; Musaceae. The record is from RNAcentral.
CUCGGCGGCAUCGCGUCCCGCCGGCAGCCCGACUCCGUCCUUGGCUUUCUCAAAAGCCACGGUUUCGACGACACCCAUGUGAAAGAGCUGCUGUCUGGGAACCCCCGGUGGCUUCUCCUCGACGUGGAGAAGACCCUGGCCGCCAAGUUCCGAGCUCUCCAGGAGUUAGGCUUCUCACAGUCCGACAUCACCCAACUCGUCCUGACCAAUCCCUCCGCAAUCAACUACCACAUCCGCACCGUCGUGCACAGGAUCCGGUUUUGGCAGGGACUCAUCGGAUCCAACGACCUCCUCAUAAAGCUCUGUAAUCACCACCAGUGGCUUCUCGGGUAUAGCGUCGAGAAGAGGAUCCAGCCAAACAUCGAUAUGCUACGGAGCUGUGGAUUCACGGAUCAAAAGCUUAGAACGAUCCUGGGGUACCACCCCACGUUGGUAACCCAGAGGGCGGAAACCUUGAGGACCUUGAUCAGUCGUGUCGAGGGAUUCGGAGUAGCCCGCACCUCGCCGAGGUUCCACUUGACUCUGUGGAUGCUCUCCAAUGUUAGCGUGGAGAGAUUCAAUGCGCAAAAGAAGCUAUUCGGGGCCUUCGGGUGGUCAGAGGCCGACUUCCUCGACGCAUUCAAAAAGACUCCUGGUUUCUUGACAAGUUCCUUGAAGAAUCUGAAGAUGAAAAUGGAAUUCUUGGUGAAUGAGGCUGGAUAUGCUCCGUCUUAUAUCGCCCUCCGGCCUGUGCUUUUGACAUAUAGUUUAGAGAAAAGGGUGAUCCCAAGAUAUCAGCUCAUGGCAGCCCUGAAGUCCAGGGGGCUGUGCGCUGGUCAUCCCAAAUUGUUCACAUAUAUCUCGUGUUCAGAGAAGAAGUUCUUGGAAAGGUAUGUCAUCAUCUACAAGAAGCAGUUUCCGGAGCUCAUUGAAUUGUACAGUGCGAGAAAAUAGUAGUUCUGGAUUUGCUAGCUGUAGAUUUUGGUUCCUGCAAUCCAUGGUUUCAGGUUCCAGCCUUUUACCCUCUGCUUAACUUGAUCUGCAGUUUGAGACUUAUUAGUAUUAUGAUUUAUGUCAUUUGCUUCCUUUUUUUCUGGUGCAUUAAGAGGAAUGUAGCUGCAUACAUGUAGAAAGAAAGGAAAGCAAUAUGAAGUGGAACACAAUGACUUCUUGUAGCAUGUUGAUUCGGUCAAUUGUUUCCUGAUAAUUACCUGCAUAGGAAAAAUUAGAUACUGUAGGAAUUUGUAGGAAUUGAGACUGUUGUCCCAUUCUUUUUUUUUAACCUACUUCUGGGAACACAUUUGGCAGACGUGUGUGCUUGUGUGUGUGUGUCGUGGUGACUAUGAAACUGAAACAAAUUCUUUGUUUGAUCUAUGGCUCUCCUUGAUGUGCAUUGAAGUAGAUGCUUUGCUUAUGUUGUAGCUGAUAUCAUUAUGUUAUCAUGAAGAAUUUUGAGAUGAUGGUUUCAAAGGUCACAUUACUAUUACACUAUGGAGUUAUGGUUGCAUCGUUUUUUUCUCCUUUGAUGAAAAAUUGGUGCUUUUGAUCGAUUUUGACAUGAUACGUCGAAUCUGCAUGGAUGUUGUCUAAGAUUGAUCUAAUUUUGGUCGGUUUCUCAGCUGAAUCAGCUAGAAUCCGUUGAAAAUACUUGAGUUUAUUGAUUUUUGGGUGAAUUUUACACUACUUGAUGACCUCAAACUCAAAGGGAAGAAAAAAGAGGACGGAAGGAGAAGAAGAAAGAAAAGAGGAAAGUUGAGAUGGUGAAACGAUAAAAGAAAAAAGAGAAAACUGUGAUUGUGAUUCUAAAUCAGAGGAGGGAACAUUGCUUUUGCUUUGCUUGCUAUUCACUGCAUCCAUCCACUGCAUUUGUUGUUUGCUACUACAUCCAUCGGGUAGAAUAGAUGGAGGAUUACAGGCAAAAGGAAGAGGACAGAAGUAACCCAUAACCUAAUAUGAACUGUGCCUGCUCCUUAUAUUUAUUAAGUUUUAGCCAAUGAUUUUGAGACUUUGGAAAAUUGUGAACUAGUGAUUGCAUAGUGUCCAUAAUCAUGUAUACAUUGCAGAAGCACUUCUUAUUGUUUCGUCAGCAUCAGUAUAGAAUAGGCAGCAUGUUUGGUUGGUGCAAUCCGAUCAAUAAAAGAAAAUAUUUCACAGGUUUGUGGCUUGUGUUCGUGAGCCCUCUUCCCCUUACAUGCAAGCAUGAACGAUUGUUGUUGUCCGCUGUCCAUUGCUCUGUCAUUGAUUUCAGGUAUGCUUCCUCCACCUCUUCCUUCUGCUUCAUCCUCAUCCUCCACUAUUUACUCCUUUCUUCGUUUAACUCCUUACUCUUCCUUUUUUUUUUUGUCUUUCUCGAUGGUCUCAUCUUCUUUCUUCCUCUUUCUCCUCCCUACUCUUAAUACAUGGCUUUCUCUUUUUCUUCGUCCGCCUUCCUCUUUCUUCAUCCACUUUCAUUUGAUUCUUCCUUUUCGAGGCUUCAGAACAUACCGGUACAUAAUGUGUCAGUAUAUUGGUAUCUCAAUCUAUGGAUUGGUACGUAGCGGUCUGGGCAGAGACAGAUAAGUUACUAAUCAGUAAGAGACUAUAAACGCUGGUGCACUGCAAGCUUCAGUCGUACAAGUGCUCGACAACUUGGAAGAGUUUUCAUUUGCUGCUCAGUAUCUGCUACAAAGCUCUUCUAUCGUUAGCGGUGGAAGGUAAGUUUGUGUAUGUUAACACUACCCUGUAUACCACUGAAAAGUGCAUUUUACACAGAAUUAUGUUGUAUUGACGUUUUGGGGGAAAUUUUAGUUUAAAAUUUGCUGAAUUUGGCUCUUAUAAAAUGCAUUAACAGUUAAAAAAUGACAGCAUGAGUUGAUGAUUGCAUAGAUGUGAGCAAUAAGAUGCUAAAAUGGAUCCUAAUUCUACCUAAUAACUGGAUCAAAAUGAAAGUUUCAAUUAACCGGAUUAAUUCGUUGAUUAAAAUGAUCUAAAAAUUGUAUCCAAAUGGACGAAAUCGAUGAACCUUCUUAUCCUUCCAUGAAAAGAUAAUCCUCAAGGGGCAAAUGCAAGAUCGAAUCCGAUCAUACAACACCAUACAACACAUGAACCCUAAUCCUCAUGGAACGAGAUGGGUUAAACAAUGUGGACCUGGUUAGAAUUAAAUAUUUAUCCUAAUUUUAAUAACUAUUUAUAUAUAUUAUAUUUUGCAAUACCAACUGGAUCCGUGGCGCAAUGGUAGCGCGUCUGACUCCAGAUCAGAAGGUUGCGUGUUCGAUUCACGUCGGGUUCAACUUUACAAUAUUUUCACAUUUCGUUUUUGUUCCACUUGUGAUUGGAGCACUGAACGGCCCCACAAGUGGACCCCAUCCGAUUCUUACGCUCCUUUUCAAAUUUUCGAUUUCCUUUUUCUAUACCUUGUGAUUGGAUUACGGGACGGACCCACUAGUGGACCCCAUCGAUCAUAGCUCCCUUUCCUUGUGUGAGAAAUACAUUUAUAAAACACUAAUUUUAGCCUAAUUUCAAUCUAUCGAGAUGUCAAAAUAUCAGUAAAAAAGGAAGAAAAUUAGCUGAUAAAUGAACACAUGAAUAAAUUUGUGGCACAAAAUCUAGGUUCGAACAAUUACAUACAAUACGGUUUUAAAAAAUAACAUUAAUCUAAAUAUACACAAAUAUAUAUAUAUAUAUAUAUAUAUAUAUAUAUAUACCUCAUCCAAAUCCCCUUUCUUCCUGUCCCCAUUCUCCGUCCGCGAUACAUCGUCGUCGCUUUCCUUCGACAAAUGCGAAGAGAAGACAAAGAUUUGGAAUUCAACCGCUGGCCAAUUCGAAGCCCCAUUUGGUUUGGCUCCCCCCCUUCCGCCUUCCUCCCUUUUCUUGCUCCGAAUUAAAUCUUCUUAUGUGACGUUUGUCGUCUGAAACGACGAUUCUCUUUGGUAGCAUACAUUUGAUUCGUCUACACGAGGAGGAUUGUGGUUUGACUUAAAUGAGUACUGUGGGUUAUCAACUUGUUUUCAUGAUAAAGGGGAAUGACAAAGAAAGCCUGACAAAAUUGCCAACCAUGACAUGAAUCCCAACACAUUAUUAUGUUCCGCUGAAGUUUCAUUGGACUUAGCCUGAUUAAUUCUUUCAUUAAUUUGUUUAAUGCUUAUAAGGAGCAACAUACAGUUAGAUGACGUGUAGAAUGUAUCCAAAUUGUGAAAUUGGAGCUAUAAUUUCUCCCGUUGCACUACACAUUCGAUGACCUAGAAGUGGCAGAAAAUGAAAUAUAACUUUUACAUGGCAGUUUUAAUACUUAGAUGCAAGUGUUGGGAAUCUCAUUAGUUAUUGGAAUCGACAAGAUACUUUAUAUGAUCCACACGUCCGAUAAUAAUAAUGACCAAACACAUUUAUCAACUAGUCAUAAAUGAGAGACUUUUCAGAUAUUUAAAAUUAUUUUAAAUUGUUUUGAUGAUGAAAGAAAGCAUUAAGUAUACUUUUAAAAAAAAAUAAAGGAUUGAUGUUCCUUUUCUGGCCUAUCUAUACCAUUAAGGGAUAGACAUUAAGUUCCAUAAGACAUAGAAUAGAAGACACCAAUUGUUUCUUAAUAAAUUAAUCUAAGGAAUCCACUAUGUGAAUUAAUCAAAGGCUUAUUUUUGGACAACUAUGACUCAAGGUAAGUUUAUUUCGUUGCAUGUCCAUUAUAAAUCCAUUGUUUUGCUUACAACAAGAACAUUUCAAAUCUGUAUGUAUAUGAGUUUUCUGAUCUAUUGUUCUCAAUAUUAUUUUUUAAAACUACAUAGAAAGAAAACAAAAGUGGUGAAUAAAAAUGUAAUAUUUAGAUGGUAAUUUUAACUUUUAGAUACAAGUGCACUUCGAGCCUGUAUGCCUUUGCAUUUAAUAAUUAUUCUUUUUGAAUAUUGUUCUCCGACACUACUUAGAAAGAAAACAUAAGAAGGUGCUACAAAGGUGCAUACACAGACUUCUUGUAUCUGUGCUGCAAGAAGUACUUGUGACACUUGUUCUAUGGCACAAAAUGUGCUGUUGGUUUCUCUGGUACUUGAGUGACACACUAACCUCAGCUCUAGUAGAUCAUGUGUACAAUGUGAUCUUACAUGUUGUUGUUCCUUUUUUCAUUUUUUUUGUAAACUUGUUAUGUCCAAGGUUGUAUUACUCCUUUCUGUUCAAGAACAUGCGAAAAAUGCUGAUUAUUUCAGUGCUUUGACUUUUAUUUCAUGUCUCAACAUGCUUUGUAAUUAAUCUUUGACUAUUUGUUACAUGUGCUGUUGCUUACUGAUGGGGUCAAGGAUUUCAAAUAACGUUUGUGAUUGAAACUGAGGAUUUGAAAUAAUGUUUGUGACUGAAACUGAAUAGAUAGAUUUGUAAGGCAACAGAGAUUCUCUGAUGAACUCUAUCUCAACGAAUUGUCACGGACUUAGCUAGUUUUGCCUAAAUCGUGCGGCACCCUUGCGUGUCCGUCCAUAAAGGUCAGCCUCCCCGAAACCUCCAAUGAUCCCUUAGGACCUACAAAAGAGAAAACGGGUUAAAGAAAGUGCCUCACUCGGGAUCCACAAGCAAAAUAUCAGAAAACACAUCAUAGUCAAUGCAAAUUACAAACAUACUUUACAAGCUCCGAACGGUUGCACAACAAAGGAUUUAAAAUGGUCUACUACAGACCGAAAUCUCCUACAAGUGUCCAUAUGACACAACCUUUAUUUACAAACCUAAAACGACCACCCAAACCCAACUAAAAUGGGGUUGUUAAGCCUUCGACCGUCCUUCUAUAUGCUGUGCAAGGCAUGAACAUACCAAAAGACACAGACAUACGUAAGCAUUACAUCAAACAUCCUGUUUAGAAGUUUGUCCGUGACAUUCUUCCCCACCCAUUCCUUCGACGUCCUCGUCGAAGCCUUUGCGACAUUGCAACUCCUCAUCUUUGCUGAGUCUUCAAUCUAUUGAUCUAGCUGCAAUGCACCUCUUGGCUCCCAGCUACUCUCCGCUACUGUUAUUGAGUAGUUGAAUUUUUGAUCCGCCAUGCUGCUUCAACUCGCUAAUGACUCUGACUCUAGUGUGGGGUUGGCUGAGUUGUGUUGAUUCCUGUUGGUUCCUGCGGAUCCUUCAGAUGAAGGAAAAGACUAUCCUUACUUUGCGCCAGUCUCUCAAAUGACUCAUGCUGCUUGAACUGGGUGGAUGCUUGUUGGAGCUUUGACGAGCAUCGCCUCGCAAAAUUUUGAUGUUUUUAGGUCAUUCCUCCAUAAAAUUUGUCCAUCGACUCUUCUUUCACUUAGUUAUCCCUUCUAAGUAGGUUCGCAUCACUUCGCUUUCGAUUGACAUUUCGUUGGAAAAUAAAGCGGACAAUCUACUCUCAAUAGCACUGAUCACCAUUGAUGAGGAUUUAACAACUAUUGUCUUCCAUUAUCUUCGAAUGGUCUUUGAACCUGUGCAGAACUACUCUGUUGGAUAAAUAAGAGAAUUGGGGUACUCGGUUUCGCCCAUUCUCUUAAGAGUUGAGAAGACAAAGGUUACUUGACUUCACCCGCCUCCUCGAGGGUUGUACUCCAUGUAUCGAGCUGAUUACUGGCCUUCACCUGCUCUUUGCUCAGACUUCUGAAGCACUUGAAGUGUUUGCACUCCUUGCGUUGAGUUAGUUACUGUGAUUCACCAUCUCAAUGUUAUCUUAACUUCUAGAAUGCAGGAAGUUUUCACCCCAACUUGGAGUAAGUCUCUAGUAGUUUUGGUCGCCUCUAGGAUUGUACCGUCUUCUCCAUCAACCUUGUCGCCUACUCCACAGAGUAGCAAAGGUACAGUACCGCGUACUCCACAGAAGUCCUUCACUUUCGGCUAUCUUGAUGAGAAGCUCAUUAACACCGGUCUUACGAAGUUCCCUAGCCUCUACCCUUCAGCCUUGUCUCAGUACUUGGAGUUUGCCUCUACAUUCUCCACCUCCUCGGCCCCUUUCACGACCAAGCGUUCUCCCUCCAUGAGAACAAGGGAUCGAUGACUUCACGGAAGUCCCACUUCUGCGGUACUAUGGCACUGCCAUGCCCAUGGCCCUACUAUCCGUCACCUCAUAUCUGCAUCCCUUUUCUUCAUUAUCAGUAGAUCUGCCUCUGUGGCACUUCUUCGAGGCCACCUCCAUUCUAACCGAUGCUUUGUUUUGGGUAGCUAAGUCCCUUUGGACUCGUCGUCACUUCCUUGCCCCUUUCAACCCCCUACUUCAACACCUCUGUAUACUCCAAGCAGUUCCCCUUGGUCGACGGAAAGACAGACUGCAACUCUCAUGCAUGGCCUCUGCCAUCAUGUUGUAGGGUUUGCACCAAUUCUAUUCUCCUUAGUUUCCUUGGUAGCAACGUUCGCUUACUCGACCUUGUCCUUUGACUUGCCGGGCUCCCUUAAGUGAAUAUGAGCUCUAGAGUAGUCCAACUCUCCAACCGCUCCGAUCAUACCUCUGUAUGAUCAAGUCCCCUCAUGGGACUUCCUGGUACUUGCAUUCGAACUUUUCUUUCGAUGUUACACAACCCCCAUAUGCUGAUAACCAAGGCUUUCAUCCGAUAUAAUAUUCGAUGCAUGCACGGAAGACCCGCCUCUGCGAUACCAUGACAUUCACUCCUUGAAUUCAUAGCCUUUCUUACCACCGUGUUGUUCAUCGAAGUGGAACUCCCAGUAGCUCCCGAUCAUUCCUCCGUAUGAUAUAGUCCCUUACGGGAUUAUAUUCGUGUGUAUCGCAUUGCCACGAACUGUUCCACCACGAUCCGUUGCACCAUGUCGCCUUUUGGUGACAUCUCCAUUGCAUUCUGAUCCUUGUGGGAUGAACUCGGAUUGUGAUCCCUUCAUGUGUGACCUCUGCCAAUACAUCGUAGGGCCUCUUCAACUUUCAAUUUGUGUUCGCUCCUUUGGCAAUCAGUCUUUGUCCACUCGCUCUCGGGUCACACCUAGAUGAAGCACCACUCUAGGACAAUCUGUCACCUAGUAGCUCUCGAAGUCCACCGACUUCGCUGAAAUUGGUGCACUAUUGUCUAGAUCCUGGGUCUUUGAGCACCAUCAAGUAUGGUUGCCAACGUUGAGUCGUAGCUCAAACUCAGCCAUCCUAACCUUUGUGCGCUACGCAUUCUUUUCAACUUGCUUGUCCUCGUGGUGCCUCUUGCGCGAAGGGUUGGCCAUUCCUCUAAAUGCCACUCUCAGAUGCCCGCUCCUCUGAACGACUCCUUUUCCCUACAUCUUCAUGCCCGUUCUCCCCAAAACGGUCGCGCGUGCUGGCUGCCCUCAAUGCAGCCCCGCUAGGUCCCCCACGUUUGCAUGCCAAGUAUUUCUAUGAGUGCUUGUCUCGCUCUGAUACCAUCUGUCAUGGACUUAGUUGGUUUUGCCUAAGUCGUACGGCACCCUUACGUGUCCGUCCGCAAAGGUUAGCCUCCCUGAAACCUCUCAUGGUCUCUUAGGACCUACAAAAGAUAAAACGAGUUAGAGAAAGCGCCUCACUCGGGAUCCACAAGCAAACAUCUCAGAAAACACAUCAUAGCCAAUGCAAAUUACAAACAUACUUUACAAGCUCCGAACCGUUGCACAACAAAGGAUCCAAAAUUGUCCAUUACAAAUCGAAAUCUCUCACAAGUGUCCACAUAACAUAACCUUUAUUUACAAGCCUAAAACAACCAUCUAAACCCAACUAAAAUGAGAUUGUUAAGCCUUUGACCGUCCCUCUAUAUGCUUUGCAGGGUAUGAAUAUACCAAAAGAUACGGACAUACAUAAGCAUUACAUCAAACAUCCUAUUUAGAAGUUUGUCCGUGACAGAAUGGCUGUUAUAAUAUUUUGGUCUUUGUUAUAUACAUAUUUACAUGAAUUUUUCCUGUGAAAUUUAGUUUUGUGGUAUAAAGCACUAUUAUCAGCAUGGUUUCUUUACUGUUUAUCUAUAUCUAUAAUGUUUCAUGUUGUGUUUUUCUUGGACUGCUCAUUCAGUGCUGUUAAUUCCCUGCUUUUCAGUUUUUCACAAGGAAUCAAUAUUCUUGACCUUACAUGCGAUUCAAUUAUAGGCUUUUGGAAUUGUUCCUCCAUACUGAAACAUUAGCAUUUUUGUGACAAUGGAAAAUUUGAUUUGUUAUUCUUAUUUUUUGUAUUUCUUGGAGUUUUAAAGUAUGACAUUGGUAUGGACUUCAAAGUAAAUUGAACGGUGCAAUUCUGUAGUUCUGUACUAGAUGCCCUUAGUUCUGGAAGAUGAUGGACUGAAGUAGGUGCAGUGGCAUUGAUAUCACAUCACACACAGGUUCUUAAUGCUAAAGCCCACGCUGCUAAUUUUGUGGCCUUUACAUCUCCUAUCAUUUUUCUGCACUUUCUUCCUUUAGUUGUUGUCUAUGUCAUGUUUGCUAAUAUUCAUAAUCAAUAGAAGACUAUAAUAUAGUAUUCUAAGGUUAUGCUGUUUUUUGUCGACCUUCAGGGUUCUUUUUCAACACAUUCACUGAGUUGUAGUGCGUCAAGUAGAAGGGCAAUUGUGAGGUCCUUGAUUGUUCAGUUGCUGUAUAAAACACUUGUUUGUGCCCCUGAAGCAUCAUUUUGAAUUUAGGUAAGACUUCAAAACGAAUGUGUUCGAAAGGAAUAUGACCAUUUUUACCAUAGUUGUUAUUGGCUUUAAAAAAUAACAGAGGUAGUUUUUUAAGAUAAAGGAAUACAUGCUAUGGAUUGUUAAUUUUACUAGAGUAAUUGUUACUUGUAGGCUUGUUUAAUUUAAUGUUGCCCAAUAUCACUAUAUCCCCUCUUUGCAGCUAUCUAUGAUUGGAUCUAGAAUCAGGUUCAGAGUACUUUGCUUCCUGGAUUUGCAGUGGUACAUGUCCGGAAUGCAGAAAUUUGUUGUUUGGUUUCAUUGCUAUGGUUACCAUGUUAUCCAAAAUGAAUGGUCUAAUCCACAAAACUCACCCCCGCAGUUUGAAGAAGGUUAACAUAUUCAGCCUUACCUAUACAAAUAAAGAGGUCAUUUCCAUUGACUUUACAAACCUAAGUUGAGGACAAAAAGUCAAACUCAUCAUGGAGAUAAGGCCAACCUUUGAAGUCAUUUUUAUUAUAACAUUUUUCCUCCCACUAUUCAGUAUCUUGUUGGGACGUUUCUCACUAUUCAGUAUCUUGUUAGGACAUUUCUUAAGCUUAAAAAAUUUGGAAUUUGAACAUCGUCUCUGAUUUUUAUUCUGCUGUUAGUGUUACAUUUACUUUGUUCGCUAUAAACGGUGUAGAUUGGUAAUUGUCUUUGACUCUUUGUUUGGUUAAAUAUAUUGCAGUGUUGUUGAAAAUGUUUAGCUUAUGAUAAAACUUUUGGUGACUUUAUGGUGAAAAUUUGCAAUCAACUGAAUGAAUGCAUUCCUCUUGAUGACAUCGUGAUACAGUAUUGAAUGUGGAAGUGUACUGCCAAAGUGAUAGUGACCUUUUGUUGCCCGUGUUAUGAUGACCAGUUGAUUUUGCAAGAGGCAAAUCAUAUCUUACAAAUGGGUAUGGUAUAAGAUAACAGACAUGAUAGUAUACCUUACAUGCUGAUAUUGGCUGACAUGGAGGCCUAACAUUUUCAGAACCACGUGAAUAGAUGUUGGUGGAUUACUUUUUAUAGUUUUGAUUUUUUGGAACCUUUUUAUGUGCUUAUCUAUCAUAAAAUGGAACAAAUAAGUUUUGAUAGCAAGGAAUUUCUAUUUGUUUUUGGGCCAUUGUAUGGAAUAAAUAAGUUUUGAUAGAAGGAUUUUGUGGCACACAUCUUUUUCAAAUAAAUGGUCUUAGUUAAGGAAAGUUGAGAUUGAAUUCCAAAUACCAUUCAGUCAGCUAACACCCCAUGGUGCCUUAUUUUCUUUUCGUUCAAGAAUUUCGACUUCUUUUACUCUUUUGAUCGGCUUAGUUAGUUAGUAUUUGUUGAUAAGAUCUAUCACUAUGUUUAGAUUCCUUGGUCUUACCACUUCAAUUGAGGAUCCAACCUAACUCCAUGAGGUUGACUACGAUGGGCAAAUUUCAUCAUAAAAAACAGGUUAUUAAAUAUAUGUGUACUAGCCUUUGGCAUAUUAUUUUUCAUCGUAGUCUUUUGGAGGACAAUAAAAUGAAUUUUUUGUCCAUUUUUUAUGAGUAUGUGUUUCUUCAGUAGUUUGGUAUCAUGAAAUUAAUUUUAGGUACCCAUGAAAUAGUUUGUAUUAAAGAAUAUUUUGGUUGUUCAAGGUGUUGGGCGCGGAGCGAACCUCGAUUGAAGCUCGGGUCUAUCAUCAAUUUGAUGUUGGGAGACAAGUAGGUUUGGUAGAAGAUCCUACAAAACUAAAAAAGGGGCAUGCCCGACAAAAGCCUUUCCAAAGUAUAGUUGGAGAAACGUAACAUUUGCUUCAAAGGGUUCAAAAGGGGUGUUAAGUGACUUGCUCUUAGGGUUUCGAGGGUUUUUUUGCCUUUUAGGCGUAGUCGGAGAGGAAGGGAAUACGGUGUUGGUGACGGUUUGUGUCUUCGGACAAGAAGAGGAGACCGAUGAAGAGGUCACCGGCAUUCUCUCUCUUCUCCAAAACCCUCUGCUUCAUCUAUCGCCCUCGUCCCGCCGAUGCUCUACUUUCCUCCUCCUCCUCUUACUCCGUCGCCGCUACCGGAAGCGGAGCUCUUCAGCCCAGCAUCAUGGCCGAAUACCUCGUCACGUCAUGUGGCUUCUCCCCGGAGAAUGCGACCAAGGCCUCGAAUCUUCUCGGCGGCAUCACGUCCCGCCGGCAGCCCGACUCCGUCCUUGGCUUUCUCAAAAGCCACGGUUUCGACGACACCCAUAUGAAAGACCUGCUGUCUUGGAACCCCCGGUGUCUUCUCCUCGACGUGGAGACGACCCUAGCUGCCAAGUUCCGAUCUCUCCAGGAGUUAGGCUUCUCGCAGUCCGACAUCACCCACCUCGUCCUGGCCAAUCCCUUCGCAAUCAACUAUGACGUCCGCACCGUGGUGCACAAGAUCCGGUUUUGGCAGGGACUCAUCGGAUCCAACGACGUCCUCGUAAAUCUCUUUAAGAGCCGCCGGUGGUUUCUCGGGUUUAGCAUCGAGAAGAGGAUCCAGCCAAACAUCGAGAUGCUACGGAGCUGUGGAAUCACGGAUCAAAAGCUUAGAACGAUCCUGAGGUACCGGCCCACGAUGGUAACCCAGAGGGCGGAAACCUUGAGGGCUUUGAUCAGUCGUGUCGAGGGAUUCGGAGUACCCCGCACUUCGGGGAGGUUCCACUGGACUCUGUUGAUGCUCUCCACUCUUAGCGUGGAGAGAUGCAAUGCGCAAAAGAAGCUAUUCGAGGCCUUCGGGUGGUCAGAGGCCGACUUCCUCGAUGCAAUCAGAAAGACUCCUUUUUUCUUGACAGGUUCCCUGAAGAAUCUGAAGAUGAAAAUGGAAUUCUUGGUGAAUGAGGCUGGAUAUGCUCCGUCUUAUAUCGCCCUCCGGCCUGUGCUCUUGACACUUAGUUUAGAGAAAAGGUUGAUCCCAAGAUAUCAGCUCAUGGCAGCCCUGAAGUCCAGGGGGCUGUGCGCUGGUCAUCCCAAAUCGGUCACAUAUAUGCUGUGUCCAGAGAAGAAGUUCUUGGAAAGGUAUGUCAUCAUCUACAAGAAGCAGUUUCCGGAGCUCAUUGAAUUGUACAGUGCGAGAAAAUAGUAGUUCUGGAUUAGCUAGCUGUAGGUUUUGGCUCCUGCAAUCCAUGGUUUCUGGUUCCAGCCUUUUACUCUCUGCUUAACUUGAUCUGCAGUUUGAGACUUAUUAGUAAUAUGAUUUAUGUCAUUUGCUUCCUUUUUUUCUGGUGCAUUAAGAGGAAUGUAGCUGCAUACAUGUAGAAAGAAAGGAAAGCAAUAUGAAGUGGAACACAAUGACUUCUUGUAGCAUGUUGAUUCGGUCAAUUGUUUCCUGAUAAUUUCCUGCAUAGGAAAAAUUAUAUACUCUAGGAAUUUGUAGGAAUUGAUACUGUUGUCCCAUUCUUUUUUUUAACCUACUUCUGGGAACACAUUUGGCAGACAUGUGUGCUUGUGUGUGUGUGUGUGUGUGUCGUAGACUAUGAAACUGAAACCAAUUCUUUGUUUGAUCUAUGGCUCUCCUUGAUGUGCAUUGAAGUAGAUGCUUUGCUUAUGUUGUAGCUGAUAUCAUUAUGUUAUCAUGAAAAAUUUUGUCAUAACCCGGGCCUGAUAGGCUAACUGAUCUAUCAACUUCGUUUGGUCUAAACCACUGAUUAAAAUGUUUAAGCUGAAGUUAAUAAUAGUACACUCAUCAGACUCUUAUAAGUCAAUCUUAAUCUUGCCCACUUCCGAUUAGGGACAAAUCAGGGGUGUUACAAAUUUUGAGAUGAUGGUUUCAAAGGUCACAUUACUAUUACACUAUGGAGUUAUAUGGUUGCAUCCUUUUUUUCUCCUUUUAAUGAAAAAUUGGUGCUUUGCAAUUAGCUACUAGUGAAGUUCAUGUUUAUUUUGAUACGAUACGUCGAAUCUACGUGGAUGUUGUCUAAGAUUGAUCUAAUUUUGGUCAAUUUCUCAGCUGAAUCAGCUAUAAUCGUUUGAAAAUACUUUGAGUUUAUUGAUUUUUGGGUGAAUUUUACACUACUUGAUGACCUCAAACUCAAAGGGAAGAAAAAAGAAAGACGGAUGGAGAAGAAGAAAGAAAAGAGGAAAGUUGAGAUGGUGAAAAGAUAAAAGAAAAGAGAGAAAACUGUGAUUGUGAUUCUAAAUCAGAGGAGGGAACAUUGCUUUUGCUUUGCUUGCUAUUCACUGCAUCCAUCCACUGCAUUUGUUGUUUACUACUCCAUCCAUCGGGUAGAAUAGUGGACCCCAUCGGUCUUAGCUCCCUUUCCUUCUGUGAGAAAUACUUGUUAAUGAUUUAUACAACACUAAUUUUAGCCUAAUUUCAAUCUAUCGAGAUGUCAAAAUAUCAGUAAAAAAAGAAGAAAAUUAGCUGAUAAAUGAAUACGUGAAUAAAUUUGUGGCACAAACUCUUGUCUCGUCACAGAACCAUCGUAUAGUUGUACUAAGAUAAUAACAUUAAUCUAAAAAUCCAUACACAAAUAGAUAGAUUAUAUAUAUAUAUAUAUAUAUAUAUAUAUAUAUAUAUAUAUAUAGACACACACACGCACAAACCUCAUCCAAAUCCCCUUUCUCUGUCCCCAUUCUCCGUCCGCGAUACAUCGUCGUCGCUUUCCUUCGACAAAUGCGGAGAGAAGACAAAGAUUUGGAAUUCGACCGCUGGCCAAUUCGAAGCCCCAUUUGGUUUGGCUCCCCCCUUUCCUCCUUCCUCCCUUUUCUUGCUCCGAAUUAAAUCUUCUUAUGUGACGUUUGUCGUCUGAAACGACGAUUCUCUUUGCUAUCAUGCAUUUGAUUCGUCUACACGAGGAGGAUUGUGGUUUGAAUUAAAUGAGUACUGUGGGUUAUCUACUUGUUUUCAUGAUAAAGGGGAAUGACAAAGAAAGUCUGACAAAAAUGCCAACCAUGACAUGAAUCCCAACACAUUAUUAUGUUCCGCUGAAGUUUCAUUGGACUUAGCCAGUGUAAUUCUUUCAUUAAUUUGUUUAAUGCUUAUAAGGAGCAACAUACAGUUGGAUGACGUGUCCAAUGUAUCCAAAUUGUGAAAUUGGAGCUAUAAUUUCUCCCGUUGCACUACACAUUCGAUGACCUAGAAGUGGCAGAAAAUGAAAUAUAACUUUUACAUCGCAGUUUUAAUACUUAGAUGCAAGUGUUGGGAAUCUCAUUAGUUAUUGGAAUCGACAAGACACUUUAUAUGAUCCACAUGUCCAAUAAUAAUAAUGACCAAACACAUUUAUCAACUAGUCAUAAAUGAGAGACUUUUCAGAUAUUUAAAAUUAUUUUAAAUUGUUUUGAUGAUGAAAGAAAGCAUUAAGUAUACUUUAAAAAAAAAAUAAAGGAUUGGUGUCCCUUUUCUGGCCUAUCUAUACCAUCAAGGGAUAGACAUUAAGUUCCAUAAGACAUAUAUUAGAAGACACCAGUUGUUUCUUAAUAAAUUAAUCUAAGGAAUCCAAUAUGUGAAAUAAUCAAAGGCUUACUCUUGGACAACUAUGACUCAAGGUAAGUUUAUUUCGUUUCAUGUCCAAUAUAAAUCCAUUGUUUUGCUUACAACAAGAGCAUUUCAAAUCUGUAUGUAUAUGAGUUUUCUAAUCUACUGUUCUCAAUAUUAUUUUUUAAAACUACAUAGAAAGAAAAGAAAAGUGGUGGAUAAAAAUGUAAUAUUUACAUGGUAAUUUUAACUUUUAGAUACAAGUGCACUUCGAGCCUGUUUGCCUUUGCAUUUUAUAAUUAUUCUUUUUGAAUAUUGUUCUUCAACACUACUUAGAAAGAAAACACAAGAAGGUGCUACAAAGGUGCAUACACAGACUUCUUGAAUUUUUGCUGCAAGAAGUACUCGUGACACUUGUUUUAUGGCACAAAAAGUGCUGUUCGUUUCAAUGGUACUUGAGUGACACACUAAACUCAGCUCUAGUAGAUCAUAUGUACAAUGGGAUCUAACAUGCUGUUGUUCCUUUUUUCAUGCUUUUUGUAAACUUGUUAUGUCCAAGGUUGUAUUACUCCUUUCUGUUCAAGAACAUGCGAAAAAUGCUGAUUAUUUCAGUGUUUUGACUUUUAUUUCAUGUCUCAACAUGCUUUGUAAUUAAUCUUUAAUUAUUUGUUACAUAUGCUGUUGCUUACUGAUGGGGUCAAGGAUUUCAAAUAACGUUUGUGAUUGAAACUGAGGAUUUGAAAUAAUGUUUGUGACUGAAACUGAACAGAUAGAAUUGUAAGGCAACAGAGAUUCUCUGAUGAACUCUAUCUCAACGAAUGGCUGUUAUAAUAUUUUGGUCUUUGUUAUAUACAUAUUUACAUGAAUAUUUCCUGUGAAAUUUAGUUUUGUGGUAUAAAGCACUAUUAUCAGCAUGGUUUCUUUAUUGUUUAUCUAUAUCUAUAAUGUUUCAUGUUGUGUUUUUCUUGGACUGCUCAUUCAGUUCUGUUAAUUCCCUGCUUUUCAGUUUUGUUUCUGUCCUCUCUCUAUAUGUGUUUUCCACAAGGAACCAAUAUUCUUGACCUUACAUGCUAUUCAAUUAUAGGCUUUUGGAAUUGUUCCUCCAUACUGAAACAUUAGCAUUUUUGUGACAAUGGAAAAUUUGAUUUGUUCUUCUUAUUUUUUGUAUUUCUUGGAGUUUUAAAGUAUGACGUUGUUAUGCACGUGAAAGUAAAUUGAACGGUGCAAUUCUGCAGUUCUGUACUAUAUGCCCUUAGUUCUGGAAGAUGAAGGACUGAAGUAGGUGCAAUGGCAUUGAUAGCACAUCACACACAGGUUCUUAAUGCUAAAACCCAUGCUGCUAAUUUCGUAGCCUUUACAUCCCCUUUCAUUUUUCUGCACUUUCUUCCUUUAGUUGCUGUCUAUGUCAUGUUUGCUAAUAUUCAUAAUCAAUAGAAGACUAUAAUAUAGUAUUCUAAGGUUAUGCUGUUUUUUGUCAACCUUCAGGGUUCUUUUUCAACACAUUCACUGAGUUGUAGUGCAUCAAGUAGAAGGGCAAAUGUGAGGUCCUCGAUUGUUCAGUUGCUGUAUAAAACACGUGUUUGUGCCCCUGAAGCAUCAUUUUCAUUUUAGGUAUGACUUAAACACGAAUGUGUUCGAAAGGAAUAUGACCAUUUUUGCCAUAGUUGUUAUUGGCUUUAAAAAAUAACAGAGGUAGUUUUUUAAGAUAAAGGAAUACAUGCUAUGGAUUGUUAAUUUUACUAGAGUAAUUGUUACUUGUAGGCUUGUUUAAUUUAAUGUUGCCCAAUAUCACUAUACCUCCUCUUUGCAGCUAUCUAUGAUUGGAUUUAGAAUCAGGUUCAGAGUACUUUGCUUCCUGGAUUUGCAGUGGUACAUGUCCGGAAUGCAGAAAUUUGUUGUUUGGUUUCAUUGCUAUGGUUACCAUGUUAUCCAAAAUGAAUGGUCUAAUCCACAAAACUCACCCCCGCAGUUUGAAGAAGGUUAACAUGUUCAGCCUUACCUAUACAAUUAAAGAAAGAGGUCAUUUCCAUUGACUUUACAAACCUAAGUUGAGGACAGAAAGGCAAACUCAUCAUGGAGAUAAGGCUAACCUUUGAAGACAUUUUUAUUAUAACAUUUUUCCUCCCACUAUUCAGCAUCUUGUUGGGACAUUUCUCACUAUUCAGUAUCUUGUUAGGACAUUUCUUAAGCUUAAAAAAUCUGGAAUUUGAACAUCGUCUCUGAUUUUUAUUUUGCUGUUAGUCUUACAUUUACUUUGUUUGGUAUAAACGGUGUAGAUUGGUAAUUGUCUUUGACUCUUUGUUUGGUUAAAUAUAUUGCAGUGUUGUUGAAAAUGUUUAGCUUAUGAUAAAACUUUUGGUGACUUUAUGGUGAAAAUUUGCAAUCGACUGAAUGAAUGCAUUCCUCUUGAUGACAUCGUGAUAUAGUAUUGAAUGUGGAAGAGUACUGCCAAAGUGAUAGUGACCUUUUGUUGCCUCUGUAUUAUGAUGACCAGUUGAUUUUACAAACUAGACCAUUAUAGUUUGGCUGAUUGAUUUUGCAAGAGGCAAAUCAUAUCUUACAAAUGGGUAUGGUAUAAGAUAACAGACAUGAUAGUAUACCUUACAUGCUGAUAUCGGCUGACAUGGAGGCCUAACAUUUUCAGAACCACAUGAAUAGAUGUUGGUGGAUUGCUUUUUAUAGUUUUGAUUUUUUGGAACCUUUUUAUGUUCUUGUCUCUCAUAAAAUUGAAUAAAUAAGUUUUGAUAGAAGGAUUUUGUGGCACACAUCUUUUUCAAAUAAUUGGUCUUAGUUAAGGAAAGUUGAGAUUGAAUUCCAAAUACCAUUCAGUCAGCUAACACUGCAUGGUGCCUUUUUUUCUUUUCGUUCAAGAAUUUUGACUUCUUUUACUCUUUUGAUCGGCUUAGUCAGUUAGUAUUUGUUGAUAAGAUCUAUUGCUAUGUUUAGAUUCCUUGGUCUUACCACUUCGAUUGAAGAUCCAACCUAACUCCAUGAGGUUGACUACGUUGGGCAAAUUUCAUCAUAAAAAAUAGGUUAUUAAAUAUAUGUGUACUAGUCUUUGGCGUAUUAUUUUUCAUCGUUGUCUUUUGGAGGACAAUAAAAUGAAUUUUUUAUCCAUUUUUUAUGGGUAUGUGUUUCUUUAGUAGUUUGGUAUCAUGAAAUUAAUUUUAGGUACCCAUGAAACAGUUUGUAUUAAAGCAUAUUUUGGUUGUUCAAGGUGUUGGGCGCGGAGCCAACCUCGAUUGAGUAGGUUAGGUAGAAGAUCCUACAAAACUAAAUCAGAGGCAUGCCCGACAAAAGUCUUUCCAAAGUAGAGCUGGAGAAAUGUAAUAGUUGCUUUAAAGGGUUCAAAGGGCUGUUAGGUGACUUAGCAUACCUAGGACAUUUUAUAUAAAGCUUUGGUAAUCGUCAAUAUUAAGUGGGAAGUUAAUUUGUGGAAUUAUUAAGCGUUACUCGAUCGUGGAGAGUUAACCAAACCAUCAGGACAUUUCCAUUAGCAUAGUCGUGCGAACUUGGUAUAUUAUAGUUGUCCAAUGUGUUGGGCCAUGGAGCUAACCUUGAUUCAAGCUUGGGUCUAUUGUCAGUUUAAUCUCGCUAGAUGAUUGGGUUCAAUAGGGGCAUAUGCAAAAUUUAGUCGGGGACAUACCAAACAAAAGUCUUUGAUGCUUAUGUUAGUAUAUCUAGAGAAAUGUAAUGUAGGAUUCGGAGGUUUCAAAGAGCACUACCUAGGGCUUUUUAAUAAGGGUUUUGAUUACCAUCAAAAUUAAGUGGUUUCGUUGGAUUGUUGGGUGUUACUCGGAUGUGAGGAGUCACUCAAACCGUUAAGAGAUAUAUGGCAGCUUCAUGGCUGGAUUUGACCAUAUUAGAGAUACAGGGAGUUUCGUGGCUAGAUUCGAUCGCAUUCGGGAUAGAGAAUAAUUCAUUAUCAUAUUCCAUUACAUCGUUGAUAAAGGAUACUUUAUGGUCAUAUUCGGCCACGUUGGAGAAAUGAUGCUUCAUGUCGAAGUCAAUUGCAUCGAGGGCUCGAGAUGCAUCUUGGCAACAUCAUCAAGCUUUUUUUAUCGUUUUUCUACCACAAGCCACUCCAACUACAAGCUCGACUUACCUUUGUUCUACAAUUGAAAUACGAUUUGCUUUAGUAACAACGUCAUAUUAAUUUUUGAUGAUUUGACAUUUUUGCCCUGAUACUUGAUCUUUUAUGUUUGAUUGGGGCCUUCCAUAUCGUGCACCACUCAAAUUAACGAAAAAGCUAAGGAUAAGGUAGUGAAGGCCUAACAAUGCCUGACCCCUAUAAAAGGGAGCCUUAGUUGUAUCUGAGCUUCCUACUUUACAAAGCCACCAUCUUUGAUACUAAACAAACAGGUGGCUGCAGUCUGUGGGCAAAGGCAUCCAUGGAAGCCACCUUCUUCAUUUUAGUAGGUAAAAGCAGUUAACCUUACCUGUCUUCCCCACCCGAUGAACAGCUUCCUUGAAGCUUCCUACAGUUUCUUGCACUCAGCUGAUUGGACUCAGAAAAUAAAUAUUUCAUCUUAUUUAAUGUCAGUUUUCAGAAUUAUAUACCCUCAGCAACCUUUUUUUUUUUCUAUUCAAGGACAUAAAACUGCUUUGUUGAUAAAUUUUGCUGUUAAUCUCGAGUUUUGGUAAAUUGAGAGCUAUGUCAUGAUGUCUUUAGAACUAAAUUUGGCACAACAGGAUAAAUUUCUAGCAUGCUUCUUAACCCUAAUGUUAGAAACCUAGUGGAUUCAGGUACAUGUUGCAUGAAACUCCACACACUCAUCAGGCUUGAUUGAAUUUUUAUGAGACUCACAUCGUGACAUCCAAGUUGAUGCUAAUUUAAUGAUUUAGUUUGAGGAGUCAUUACAUCCAAAUGCGAGCUUACUCAACGCACUUGAUCAGUGUCAUAGGAAACAUAUAUAUUAUCAUGAUAGAGUAUGAAAGCUUAGAUUAGGUAUAUAAAACACUAAGUGAUAGACAGAGUAGUAUCAGCAUGAAUAUGAAUGUUAGCUAGAUAUAUAAUUCAUGGUGUAGGAUUCAUGACAAAGGAGGUGAGUUGUACAUUAAAAGUUGUCUUAGUUGCCCAGUGAAGAAAAAAAAGGCUUUUUCAUUAAGUUCAUGAACCUGAAACACUGGUCCAAAGUGUUUAUUCAUUUAUUUUAUGAGCCUUGAAGUAUUUUUUUGUUCAUCAUCUCGACCCAGUCUGAUAACUUAUUAAUUUGAUGAGUAUGAAACACUAAUUCAAAGCACUUGCAUCCAUAUUAAUGAAAAUAGACUUAUUUAACAAUCUGCCCCACUUAUGUUUAACAUAUUGAACUUUACACUCAGCCAUCUUUUCUGGUUUGGGUACCUCAUCAUGCCCAUUAAUAAAUCCCCCUUGAUAUGAUUUGUCACAACUUGAUCUGAGGAGAUAUCUUAAUAACAUUAUGAAUCUGAACUAAGUGCUUAGGCCAAAGUUAAUAACGAUAAACUUAUGUAGCUCUAUAUACCAAUUUGAUUGAGCUGUUGUAUGUGAUGUAGAUCUAAACAUGCGGCAUCACAUUCUUUUAUCCUGCUAUAAAUGCUCCUCAUCUUCAUGGCUUCACCUAAACAUCACUUGAAGUCCUCACAAGAACAGCCAUGUCUUCUCUUGGAGCCAGCUAUGCUUACAUCCAUGAACUGAGGAAACGCUGCAAGGAAAUGGAGAGGAAGAAGACAGAUGGUGGUGUGGCCACAGAGGAGAAGAGCUCCAAGGGAAGAGUUCAUCCUAGUGACACCCCUUCACCAGUGUGUCGUGAAGAACGAGGUGAAGGUAAUUGUUGGAGAAGCUCGGUCACCAAAUAAAUCCCCAAAAAAGAAAGAUGAUGAAUUAUUGGGUGUUGAUGGGGGGCUUGUUUUACAUUUAGACAAUGCUAUGUCCACAUAUAUAUAUUUUGCCUUCCAAUGUUCCAAGUCUCUUUAGUAGGGAAAUGUGGGAGGAAUAAUCAUCCAAUUGUUUUCUUUUUCUCUACCUAGAUACGACAGAAAUAGAUGUUGCUUUCAUUAUUAACAUAGUCAGGUUCAUAGCCAUAUGGAAGUUUUUUUAAUGAAUAUUUUUCUUCUAUCAUAUCAAAUUGCACACAAGAUACAAGCUCAACAAUGGAUGGUAAUAUUAUGGAAUAAUCACAUUUAUGGCCAACUAAGGAUCAGAAUAUUUUAAGGAUGGUAAUAUGUAUCCUAGAGAUUAUCCAAACUCAACAAUGAAGACAACAACAAUUGAAGUUUGUAUGCGGGUUUCAAUUUUACUUAUAACUUAAAUUCAUCUUUGAUAAGAAUGAUCUCUCAGCUGAUUGUUAGGGUUGACAAGUAUUUUAAAAAUAAAUUUAUUUGGAGGAUAAAAAAUUUAAAUUUUAUGAAAAGAAAUUUUUGUGAAUCAGAGUUUAGUUGUCUUGUAAAUAUCUAAUAUAUCUCAACGUCUUAACAAGACAUCAUGAAAAAAAAAAAAAAAAAAAAAAAACCCUUGGUGGUGAUAAUUUUAUACUGAUAAUUUUGAGCUUUUAUCUAUCAGAUUAUUUUAAUGUCCCUCAGACAACUUUUUGCUCGUGUCAAUCGAUCCUGUUGCCCAAGUGCAAGAAUUCUGGCAUCUUGAUACUGAAUUUGCUCCUUUUUUUUUCUUUUGUUUUCUUCUAUUUCCGUUCUUUGGGUUGUAGACUUUGUGCUCUAAUUUUGAGUUGGAUUUCCUAUAGUCUGAAAAGCUAUUGCUCUUCUUCGUUCAUAAUCAGCCAUAUUUUUGCUCCUUUGGCUUUCAGAAUCUGGUUGGAGCAAGCAAGUUCUUUUAUGGAUGUCAUCUUUGGCAUGGAUUGACGACCUCCAAGCAGAAGCAUUCCUCUGAUCUGAUCACCAGGCCUACUCAAUCGUGGUCCUCGAUGAACAUGAGAUAAAAGUACCUUGGCCUGCUUACAAAGUACAAGCUUCCAAGUGCAAGCUUCCUCUUGUUAACUCAAACAUAGACUGGAGUAGCUUUAAGAGGAUACCAGCUACUCCUAGAGUCCUUAACUUUCUGCUUAGAACUUCAUAGAACACAUUUUCUCAUUUCGGACAGACUUGCUGCUUUAAAUAUUUCCUUACUUCAUCAAUUUUGGUGCUGCAGAAUAUGAGACUGAAUCCAUCCAUAAAAGAUCGUAUCUUCUUUUCUUGUCAAUUUGCUCGAGAGUUUUGGAACUACUUUCAGAUCCAUUUGAAUGAAAUUUUAAUUUCAUUGCAGCUUUUAAAUGAUUAAAAUAUUUUUAUUUAGACAGAUUACAAAUCAUAUCGGUUUUUCUUGUUAUCAGUUAAACAAAGUUGAAGGUUUAUUAUGAUAAAUUUAUAUAUAUAUCUUAUUAUGAUGAUGGAUUGUGGUCUGAAAUCCAUCUAAUUAAUUUGUAUGCAUAAAUAUUUUAUCCAAUGAGUUUAUACAUCUAAAUUAACAAAAAAAUUGGUCUAAUAAUUUUAUCUAAAAUAUUCUAUCCAAUUUAUUGAGAAUAUUAACUUCCAUCUGCGAAUUCUCUCUCCACCGCUUGCUCUUAGGGUUUCGAGGUUUUUUGCUUUUUAGGCGCAGUCGGAGAGGAAGGGAAUACGGUGUUGGUGACGGUUUGUGUCUUCGGACAAGAAGAGGAGACCGAUGAAGAGGUCACCGGCAUUCUCUCUCUUCUCCAAAACCCUCUGCUUCAUCUAUCGCCCUCGUCCCGCCGAUGCUCUACUUUCCUCCUCCUCCUCUUACUCCGUCGCCGCUACCGGAAGCGGAGCUCUUCAGCCCAGCUUCAUGGCCGAAUACCUCGUCACGACAUGUGGCUUCUCCCCGGAGAAGGCGACCAAGGCCUCGAAUCUCCUCGGCGGCAUCGCGUCCCGCCGGCAGCCCGACUCCGUCCUUGGCUUUCUCAAAAGCCACGGUUUCGACGACACCCAUGUGAAAGAGCUGCUGUCUGGGAACCCCCGGUGGCUUCUCCUCGACGUGGAGACGAACCUGGCCGCCAAGUUCCGAACUCUCCAGGAGUUAGGCUUCUCACAGUCCGACAUCACCCACCUCGUCGUGGCCAAUCCCUCCGCAAUCAACUGUCGCGUCCCCACCAUGGUGCACAAGAUCCGGUUUUGGCAGGGACUCAUCGGAUCCAACGACCUACUCAUAAAGGUCUUUAAGCGCCGCCAGUGGAUUCUCG